This is a non-coding RNA of Pelobates cultripes (western spadefoot toad), 1093 nucleotides long. NCBI's taxonomy places the organism in Eukaryota, Metazoa, Chordata, Amphibia, Anura, Pelobatidae. The record is from the annotation of a GenBank genome assembly.
GCUCUGUUUUGCCAACCCGGCCUAGAUGCACCAUUGGGGACUUUACUUGUCAACGUGCACGUCCCCUGAAACUGCAGGAUAAAUUAAUUACAGGACAAGCUUUACUUAUUAUAUUUAUUACAGCUGGGAAACCGUAAUCCAAACUACAGCCGAAUGCUAAUUCUAUCUAAAAUAUGAACAAAUAUGUGUAAAGAAAUUAAAAUAUUUUGUGACGUAGUGUAGUAUGUAAAUGGAAAAUACAGUGUGAUAUGAUGGAGUGUUCAUUAAAAGCACAGAAUCACCUGAUAAUUACAUUUAAAACUGCCACGAUCACAAACGCACCAUUCCAAUACAUUUCAACAACACUUUUUUGUUGUUACUGAUUCAAAAUAAACGGCUCUCUAAAUGAUAUUAACAAGUCAAACCUAAUGGGAAAUUAUAGGGGACAAAUAAUCCAGUUUAAAGGUACGCUCCACACACCAUAACCACUACAGCACCCUGAACAUAAUAUUGUGAACAAAACCGAUAUCACGGAACUGGAACUAAUCAUCCCGGCUGUAUGAUUGACAGCUCUGAGGGGUGGGGGUAGAGCUGUAGCAAUUUUUACAUAGUGAGUGAGGGUUGUUUCUCCUCCAUAAACUGUGAAUUUAUUAAAGCUAUCACAAUUACUCCGAAGAUUUAUCUACACAACAAAACCAUUUCUCUUAUUUCAUUUAACAGCCAAAAGGACUUGAUAAAUCACUGAAAACAAUGGUUUUGUGUAUGUGCAGAUGAGCAGAACAAAUACUACAAACACCUGCCUUUAGUUAAUGUGUUCAAUACAAACAAUGCCUACAUCAAAGGAAUACUGUAGGAAGAGAUAUGUGUAUUUCUAAUGCCAUAGUGUCCUAGUCGCCACAUAGGUCAAUCUCCUAUGCAUGGGUUAAAAGUAUUAAAGUAAACUUACCUGUUAUCCCACACUGCGCUGCUCUCCAUGGCGGGCCCCGCCUCUGUGGCAGAGAUUGUCAAUCUUGAUGAUCUCAGCCAAUCCAAUGCUUUGCCAUAGAAAAGCAAAGCACAGCCCUGCGCUAAUCAGAUGGAAUCUGUGAAUUCCACUUGCUUGCCAGAGUGAUAU